RNAcentral lists this ribosomal RNA (807 nucleotides) under uncultured bacterium. RNAcentral describes it as "bacterial SSU rRNA". It matches the Rfam family "Bacterial small subunit ribosomal RNA", at positions 8 to 796 of the family's 1533-position model. The record is from RNAcentral.
AGAGUUUGAUCCUGGCUCAGAACGAACGCUGGCGGCGUGCCUAACACAUGCAAGUCGAGCGCGAAUAGGGGCAACCCUUAGUAGAGCGGCGCACGGGUGCGUAACACGUGGGUAAUCUGCCUGGAAGCCUGGGAUAACUAGCCGAAAGGUUAGCUAAUACCAGAUGAGACCACGGGAGCUUCGGCUCCUGAGGGAAAAGGAGGCCUCUGUAUACAAGCUUUCACUUCCAGAUGAGCCCGCGGCCCAUCAGCUAGUUGGCGGGGUAAUGGCCCACCAAGGCAACGACGGGUAGCUGGUCUGAGAGGACGAUCAGCCACACUGGAACUGAGACACGGUCCAGACUCCUACGGGAGGCAGCAGUGGGGAAUUUUGCGCAAUGGGCGAAAGCCUGACGCAGCAACGCCGCGUGUGUGAUGAAGGUCUUCGGAUUGUAAAGCACUUUCGACCGGGACGAAACCCGCUAGCCUAAUACGCUGGCGUCUGACGGUACCGGGAGAAGAAGCACCGGCUAACUCUGUGCCAGCAGCCGCGGUAAUACAGAGGGUGCAAGCGUUGUUCGGAAUUAUUGGGCGUAAAGCGCGUGUAGGCGGCUUUGCAAGUCGGGUGUGAAAGCCCUCGGCUCAACCGAGGAAGUGCGCCCGAAACUGCAGAGCUUGAGUGCCGGAGAGGAUGGCGGAAUUCCCCAAGUAGAGGUGAAAUUCGUAGAUAUGGGGAGGAACACCGGUGGCGAAGGCGGCCAUCUGGACGGUAACUGACGCUGAGCGCGAAAGCGUGGGGAGCAAACAGGAUUAGAUACCCUAGUAGUCC